UGACACGCAGAUCUAUCUUUCAAUUAAACUACCCAUGAUAGAAUUAUGUUGUCUCCAUAAAUGAGGUCAUUGUUGUGUUUGCACAUCUUGAAAAGGUGAUCCACCCUUUAACUCAGUGUGGCUACCUUUUUGUGACUCUCAUCAUAAAGAAUCAUCAGUAAGAAAAUGACAAGAUAAAAUUCUGCUACCAGUCUGUUAACCAGGAAGACGUGUAACAGAGAGAAGUGAAAAUACAGAUCUAAGAGGAGAUGGAGAGAUUCAGGGAGGAGCUGAGCUGUUACUGAACUAUAGAAGAGAGAGGAACUUCCAUAUUCAGCAGAGUUCAAUACACAAACCACAAACAUUACCUUUAUUCAACAUGCUGUCAUUAGACUAUUAUGGACUGUCUCUGCUGAUUCUCACUACUCUGACAGGCAUCAACAGUGAAGAUCUGACUCCAGUCAACAAUGAAGAGUUUAGUUCAGGCAGCUCUGUUACUCUGUCCUACAAAUACGCCAAGUCAAUAACUGCUAGUGAUGAUUUCUUCUGGUAUCGACAAUAUCCAGGAAAACCACCAGAGUUCCUCCUGUACAUCUCAGGACUUAACAUGUCAAGAGCAGCAGAUUCUCUAAAAUCUGAAACAAGGUUCUUCACUCAGCUUUCUGGAGAAAACCAUGGUGUCAAUCUGCAGAUCUCCUCUGCUGCAGUGACAGACUCUGCUGUGUACUACUGUGCUGUGAGGCCCACAGUGACAGGAAACACCACAACUCUGUACAAAAACCUUUGGAGCAAAGACAACACAAUACUCUACAACAUCCACUAGAGGGAGUCACACACUGUUAAAAGAUGAAGUUUUCGGA
This is a non-coding RNA of Lates calcarifer (barramundi perch), 839 nucleotides long. The record is from the annotation of a RefSeq genome assembly. NCBI's taxonomy places the organism in Eukaryota, Metazoa, Chordata, Actinopteri, Centropomidae.